RNAcentral lists this transfer RNA (70 nucleotides) under Dipodomys ordii (Ord's kangaroo rat). It matches the Rfam family "tRNA". From Rfam's summary of the family: Transfer RNA (tRNA) molecules are approximately 80 nucleotides in length. Their secondary structure includes four short double-helical elements and three loops (D, anti-codon, and T loops). Further hydrogen bonds mediate the characteristic L-shaped molecular structure. tRNAs have two regions of fundamental functional importance: the anti-codon, which is responsible for specific mRNA codon recognition, and the 3' end, to which the tRNAs corresponding amino acid is attached (by aminoacyl-tRNA synthetases). tRNAs cope with the degeneracy of the genetic code in two manners: having more than one tRNA (with a specific anti-codon) for a particular amino acid; and 'wobble' base-pairing, i.e. permitting non-standard base-pairing at the 3rd anti-codon position. Lineage: Eukaryota; Metazoa; Chordata; Mammalia; Rodentia; Heteromyidae. The record is from Rfam by way of RNAcentral.
GGGAAUGUGGUUCAGUGGUAGAGUGCUUGCUUAGCAUGCAUGAAGCCCUGGGUUCGAUUCCUCAGUACCA